UUACAGGGCUAUGACUUUCUGUAUCUAAGGUAUGACCUACUCAACCUCUCUUUACAGGGUUCAGCAUCCCAACUCACUGCUGGCCGACACUCUAUAUCUUUCAGCAUCUCAACUCACUGCUGGCCGAGGCUCUAUAUCGUUCAGCAUCCCAACUCACUGCUGGCCGACACUCUAUAUCUUUCAGCAUCCCAACUCACUGCUGGCCGAGGCUCUAUAUCUUUCAGCAUCCCAACUCACUGCUGGCUGACACUCUAUAUCUUUCAGCAUCUCAACUCACUGCUGGCCGAGGCUCUAUAUCGUUCAGCAUCUCAACUCACUGCUGGCCGAGGCUCUAUAUCGUUCAGCAUCCCAACUCACUGCUGGCCGACACUCUAUAUCUUUCAGCAUCCCAACUCACUGCUGGCCGAGGCUCUAUAUCUUUCCACAGAUCCUUGCGACAUGGGGCCGUGCAUUAUCAUGCACAAGGUGAUGGUGGCGGAUGAAUGGCACGACAAUGGGCCUCGGGAUCUCGUCACUGUAUCUCUGUGAAUUUAAAUUGCCAUAGAUAAAAUGCAAUUGUGUUUGUUGUCUGUCGUCCUCACGAGGGUCUUGACCUGACCGCAGUUACGCGUCGUAACAGACUUCAGUGGGCAAACGCUCACCUUCGAAGGCCACCGGUGUGCUCUUUACGGAUGAUUCCCGGUUUAAACUGUACCGGGCAGAUGGCGGACAGCGUGUAUGGCGUCGUAUGGGCGAGCGGUUUGCUGAUGUCAACGUUACGAACAGUGUCCCGUGGAGGCGGUAUGGGUUUAUUUUAUCAAGAUUUUUUUCAUGUUAUUUGUAACUUAUUUUGUGCAUAAUGUUUCUGCCACCGUCUCUUAUGACCGAAAAGAGCUUCUAGAUAUCAGGACAGCGAUUACUCACCUUCUACUGGAAGAAUAUAACUAUUUGUUUUAAUGAGAUACCGUGACGAGAUCCUGAGGCCCAUUGUUAUGCCAUUCAUUCGCCGCCAUCACCUCAUGUUUCAGCAUGAUAAUGCACGGCCCCAUGUCCAAGGAUCUGUACACAAUUCCUGGAAUCUGAAAAUGUCCCAGUUCUUCCAUGGCCUACAUACUCACCAGACAUGUCACCCAUUGAGCAUGUUUGGGAUGUCACGCUGCAUGAGGCAAAUGGUGGUCACACCAGAUACUGACUGGUUUUCUGAUCCACAACCCUACCUUUUUUUUAAGGUAUCUGUGACCAACAGAUGCAUAUCUGUAUUCCCAGUCAUGUGAAAUCCAUAGAUUUAGGACCUAAUGAAUUUAUUUCAAUUGACUGAUUUCCUUAUAUGAACCGUAACUCAGUAAAAUCUUUGACACUUUUGCAUGUUAUAUUUCUGUUCAGUGUAUUUGAUUUUCUGUUUGAUAGUUUGGA
This is a long non-coding RNA of Oncorhynchus tshawytscha (Chinook salmon), 1392 nucleotides long. The record is from Ensembl. Lineage: Eukaryota; Metazoa; Chordata; Actinopteri; Salmoniformes; Salmonidae.